Long non-coding RNA from Enhydra lutris kenyoni (northern sea otter), 596 nucleotides. RefSeq lists it as uncharacterized. The transcript is spliced from 3 exons. The record is from RefSeq and is a predicted model, not a curated record. Lineage: Eukaryota; Metazoa; Chordata; Mammalia; Carnivora; Mustelidae.
AUCCUCAGCAUUACCCACGAGCCCACUGAGGAGUGGGUGCUGGUAGGCCUGAGAACAAGCGACAUCAUAAUUCUCCACACACACCGGCCGGAGAAGUUUAAGGCAGUCUUGCAUAAAUACGUCAACCACCACAACCUCAAGUUUGCCUCCUGUGGGAGCUACUUUGUGACCGCGAUCGACGAGUCGAUCCACUGCAUAGCCGCACCUUCUCUACAAAGGUUGUUUCAGGUAGAGGAGCCGACAGAUGUCCUGUGUUGUGAUGUGUCUGCUGACAACCAGUAUCUGGUCACGGGCUCCAAGAACAGUGCCACAGUUUACCAGCUCUUGUACUGAAGUUUGCGUGCUGUGUUCCUGCUGGCGAAGACCCAGAGGAGGCCAGCAGGCCGAGGGCAUGGCAGCCUCCGUGGCCUGAUACCUUCACCUGACCCUCGGUGGUUGGGCCUGUCUGCUCCCUCUGCCCCAGACACACCUUGCCUGUGUUCGCAGGUUUUUAUGAUACGAUGUAGGGGUUUUUCCUUUGUUACUAUUCUUACUGCUGAUUUCUGGGUUUGGGUGGGGAAACUUGCCUUCGUAAUUAACAAAAUAGAAAAGCAAAA